This 253-nucleotide ribosomal RNA is filed under the name uncultured bacterium. Its description in RNAcentral is "partial 16S ribosomal RNA". It matches the Rfam family "Bacterial small subunit ribosomal RNA", at positions 524 to 776 of the family's 1533-position model. The record is from RNAcentral.
GACAGAGGGUGCAAACGUUGUUCGGAAUUACUGAGCGUAAAGCGUGUGUAGGUGGCCGCGCAAGUCGGAUGUGAAAGCCCUGGGCUCAACUCAGGAAGUGCACCCGAUACUGCGUGGCUCGAGUACCGGAGAGGUUGGUGGAAUUCUCGGUGUAGAGGUGAAAUUCGUAGAUAUCGAGAGGAACACCUGUGGCGAAGGCGGCCAACUGGACGAGUACUGACACUGAGACGCGAAAGCGUGGGGAGCAAACAGG